Vulpes vulpes (red fox) is the source of this 1569-nucleotide long non-coding RNA. The record is from Ensembl. Lineage: Eukaryota; Metazoa; Chordata; Mammalia; Carnivora; Canidae.
CUCGGCGUCUCGCGGGGCCGCCUCCCCCGGACGCUCGCCUGGCUCCCCGUCUCGCUCUGCCCCAGGCCCGACAGGCCGGGACGCCGUCCGACCCCAGCCGAGGCCACCCACAGGCCGGGCGCCUCGGGCCUCCGUGGGUGCUUGGACUCUCCCGCAGCACCACUGCCGCCGGGAGAAAGGUCGUGGCGGCUCGCAGCCCCCCGCCCCCAGCCCCCCGCUGGCUCCUUGGUGAGGUGCUACUUGGCGGCGGCCGCGCUGGGGGGAUGUGGGGACGGCGGGCCGAGGCGGAGGGGGCCGGUUGUGGGGAGGGUGAGCCACCUGUCUCUCUCUGAGUCGGGGGUCACUUGCUGGAGCCCCCGGUGCCUUCUCUCGGCCGGCCGUCGGCCCGGCAACCGCCAGCGAUGGAGCUGCACGUGGGUGGUGGUCUUGGGCGGGGAUGAGAGCAGAGCGCCGGCCCCCGCCGGCCCCCGCCGCCCCCGCCCGGGCAGGCGGUGGUUGGAAAGCGGUUGUGGGCGUCUCCCGGUGGCCGGACCACCAGGCAGUGGAGGCCAGAGAGCAGGGAGAUAGAUGCAGGAGGCCAGUGGGGCUAACCCGCGGGCCGGGCAGGUGGGAGGCGGCGGAGGCACCCCGGGGACAGACGGGGUGCCCUUGGAGGCCCCGGGUCAGUCCAACUGCACGACCGCUACCCCGAAUCCUGGGGCAGAGGGGCAGGCGUGUUCCCCGACACAGCUUCCUCCACCCCGGCCCCCGGCCGCCGGCCCGGCCCCGGCCCCAGCCCCACGUGGCCGGCCCCCCAGCUGGAUGCCUCAGAAGUUGCUCCCAUUAGGACUUUUGCUGGAUUCAACGCUUGCUACUCCUGUUCCUUUCGUUGUCUCGUAUAGCUGUUCUAAUCAAAUGAGUAGAUUUAUUUAGAGAGUAAUACAAGUUUGCAUAAAGCUCUUUCGGGUCUAUUUGGGAUGUAUACUCUCAAGAAUGAAGAAUUCAUAAUAGCUGCAAAAGUUAAUGGGAUGCUCUCUCUCUUUUUUUUUUUUUAUAGUUUAGGGAGAGCAAAGCCCUGAUCAAAAUUGAUUUCAUAGUAGAGAAUGAGAUGUAUAUUUUUCGCGUUAAUUUAUGACCCUCAUUGCCACUCUUCUUAUUCUAGUGAGGGUAAAGCAGUACAUUAUGUACCUACAUUAGUCUUAGUAUUAACACUCCACCGUACAUCUUUCAUCAUGUGUUGUUCUAUUAAAGAGCCUCUUAGUUUGUCAUAGUUUUAGUUCAUCACAUAUUCUAUGUAUUUUCUGAGAUGCCUGAUGGUUCAGUUAAGCAUGUAACAGUGAUCUCCAUGUUAUGAGUCCAAUUCCCACCUUGGGCAUAGAUUUUACUUAAAAAAAUAAGUUACACUUUCCCGUGGGAGGUGCCUUCUGUACCUGGAGAAAAGAGACCUAAAUAUCUCCCAAGGUAAAGGUAUAUAGAGAAUAAUCUAUUUGCAAUAUUUCAAUGUAGUAUUAGUGGUGAUUGUGAUAAAAUGUUCCAUUCCAUCCAAUUUUGGGGAAUAAAGUUAUAAUUGAAAAUUUUUAGAAAAAAAUU